GCCUGGGUGGCUCAGUCGGUUAAGCAUCUGACUUCAGCUCAGGUCAUGAUCUCACGGCUCGUGGGUUUGAGCCCCGUGUCAGGCU
This 85-nucleotide transfer RNA is filed under the name Felis catus (domestic cat). It matches the Rfam family "tRNA". From Rfam's summary of the family: Transfer RNA (tRNA) molecules are approximately 80 nucleotides in length. Their secondary structure includes four short double-helical elements and three loops (D, anti-codon, and T loops). Lineage: Eukaryota; Metazoa; Chordata; Mammalia; Carnivora; Felidae. The record is from Rfam by way of RNAcentral.